CCUACGGGUGGCUGCAGUGGGGAAUAUUGGACAAUGGGGGCAACCCUGAUCCAGCAAUACCGCGUGUGUGAAGAAGGCCUGCGGGUUGUAAAGCACUUUCAAUUGUGAAGAAAAGCUUAGGAUUAAUACUCCUGGGUCUUGACGUUAACUUUAGAAGAAGCACCAGCUAACCCUGUGCCAGCAGCCGCGGUAAUACAGGGGGUGCAAGCGUUAAUCGGAAUUACUGGGCGUAAAGCGCGCGUAGGCGGUUUGUUAAGUCAGAUGUGAAAGCCCUGGGCUCAACCUGGGAACUGCAUUUGAAACUGGCAGGCUAGAGUAUGGUAGAGGAAAGUGGAAUUUCGGGUGUAGCGGUGAAAUGCGUAGAUAUCCGAAGGAACAUCAGUGGCGAAGGCGACUUUCUGGACCAAUACUGACGCUGAGGUGCGAAAGCGUGGGGGGCAAACAGGAUUAGAUACCCUAGUAGUC
Molecule: ribosomal RNA, 465 nt
Filed under: uncultured bacterium
Lineage: Bacteria
Description: bacterial SSU rRNA
Rfam family: Bacterial small subunit ribosomal RNA
Source: RNAcentral